Molecule: ribosomal RNA, 1026 nt
Filed under: Pseudorobillarda siamensis
Lineage: Eukaryota; Fungi; Ascomycota; Dothideomycetes; Pleosporales
Description: SSU rRNA
Rfam family: Eukaryotic small subunit ribosomal RNA
Source: RNAcentral
GCACUAUACGGUGAAACUGCGAAUGGCUCAUUAAAUCAGUUAUCGUUUAUUUGAUAGUACCUUACUACUUGGAUAACCGUGGUAAUUCUAGAGCUAAUACAUGCUAAAAACCCCGACUUCGGGAGGGGUGUAUUUAUUAGAUAAAAAACCAAUGCCCUUCGGGGCUCUUUGGUGAUUCAUAAUAACUAAACGAAUCGCAUGGCCUUGCGCCGGCGAUGGUUCAUUCAAAUUUCUGCCCUAUCAACUUUCGAUGGUAGGAUAGUGGCCUACCAUGGUUUCAACGGGUAACGGGGAAUUAGGGUUCUAUUCCGGAGAGGGAGCCUGAGAAACGGCUACCACAUCCAAGGAAGGCAGCAGGCGCGCAAAUUACCCAAUCCCAAUACGGGGAGGUAGUGACAAUAAAUACUGAUACAGGGCUCUUAUGGGUCUUGUAAUCGGAAUGAGUACAAUUUAAAUCUCUUAACGAGGAACAAUUGGAGGGCAAGUCUGGUGCCAGCAGCCGCGGUAAUUCCAGCUCCAAUAGCGUAUAUUAAAGUUGUUGCAGUUAAAAAGCUCGUAGUUGAACCUUGGGUCUGGCUGGUCGGUCCGCCUCACCGCGUGUACUGAUCCGGCCGGGCCUUUCCUUCUGGCUAGCCGCAUGCCCUUCACUGGGUGUGUUGGCGAACCAGGACUUUUACUUUGAAAAAAUUAGAGUGUUCAAAGCAGGCCUUUGCUCGAAUACAUUAGCAUGGAAUAAUAGAAUAGGACGUGCGGUCCUAUUUUGUUGGUUUCUAGGACCGCCGUAAUGAUUAAUAGGGAUAGUCGGGGGUAUCAGUAUUCAAUUGUCAGAGGUGAAAUUCUUGGAUUUAUUGAAGACUAACUACUGCGAAAGCAUUUACCAAGGAUGUUUUCAUUAAUCAGUGAACGAAAGUUAGGGGAUCGAAGACGAUCAGAUACCGUCGUAGUCUUAACCGUAAACUAUGCCGACUAGGGAUCGGGCGAUGUUAUUUUUUUGACUCGCUCGGCACCUUACGAGAAAUCAAAGUC